Molecule: ribosomal RNA, 253 nt
Filed under: uncultured bacterium
Lineage: Bacteria
Description: partial 16S ribosomal RNA
Rfam family: Bacterial small subunit ribosomal RNA
Source: RNAcentral
UACGUAGGGAGCAAGCGUUGUUCGGAUUUACUGGGCGUAAAGGGCGCGUAGGCGGCGCGGUAAGUCACUUGUGAAAUCUCUGAGCUUAACUCAGAACGGCCAAGUGAUACUGCUGUGCUAGAGUGCAGAAGGGGCAAUCGGAAUUCUUGGUGUAGCGGUGAAAUGCGUAGAUAUCAAGAGGAACACCUGAGGUGAAGACGGGUUGCUGGGCUGACACUGACGCUGAGGCGCGAAAGCCAGGGGAGCAAACGGG